UACGGAGGGAGCUAGCGUUAUUCGGAAUUACUGGGCGUAAAGCGUACGUAGGCGGUUAUUCCAGUCAGAGGUGAAAGCCCGGGGCUCAACCCCGGAACGGCCUUUGAAACUAGAUAACUAGAGUCUUGGAGAGGUUAGUGGAAUUCCGAGUGUAGAGGUGAAAGUCGUAGAGAUGCGGAAGAACACCAGUGGCGAAGGCGACUAACUGGACAAGUACUGACGCUGAGGUACGAAAGCGUGGGGAGCAAACAGG
This 253-nucleotide ribosomal RNA is filed under the name uncultured bacterium. RNAcentral describes it as "partial 16S ribosomal RNA". It matches the Rfam family "Bacterial small subunit ribosomal RNA", at positions 524 to 776 of the family's 1533-position model. The record is from RNAcentral.